RNAcentral lists this ribosomal RNA (870 nucleotides) under Crassicutis cichlasomae. RNAcentral's name for it is "eukaryotic LSU rRNA". It matches the Rfam family "Eukaryotic large subunit ribosomal RNA", at positions 542 to 924 of the family's 3401-position model. The record is from RNAcentral. Lineage: Eukaryota; Metazoa; Platyhelminthes; Trematoda; Plagiorchiida; Apocreadiidae.
UUUGAGGNNUCANCCGGUGAGCAUGGUUUGAGCUUGGUCAAAUUGGUUAAAUGCCNGGGUCUGUGUAGCAGCAGGUCCGUGCCUUCGGGUUCGGAUGCGCGGUGCACUUAACAGGUGUUGCGCGCUCUGGUAAUUUUGGACCGGCUUGCCGGUGCACUUCCUCUUAGUGUUCACCACGACCGGCACUGCUGUUUGGGUGUCGCGGUUAAACCGUUCUUGUAUAGCCCCUCGGGACUUUGCUUGAUCGGGAUGGCAGGUAGCUCGUUAGUUGUCCGCGGUUCUCCGUGGUCGCUUUCGGGUGUAAUAGCUUUCCGCGAUGGUACUAUGCAGUGUGUCGGAGACGGCGGCUUAUGGUGUGUGCGUGCGUGCCUGUUCGGUCGGCAGUUCCGGGUUCGGUUGCUUUGUUGCUUGUUAAAGCAGGCCUGGUGAUAUCCCGGUUCUGUUGGGUCGGCGGUUGCGUGCGUGGCACUUCCCAGGGCCCAUAGUCUGUGGUGUAGUGGUAGAUUAUCCACCUGACCCGUCUUGAAACACGGACCAAGGAGAGUAACAUGUGCGCGAGUCAUUGGGCGUAACGAAACCCAAAGGCGCAGUGAAAGUAAAUGUCUGGCUUGUCUGGACUGAGGUGAGAUCCUGUCGUUUCCCACGCGUGGUACCACCAAGCAUCGAGCGGCAGGCGCAUCACCGGCCCGUCCCAUGGCGUAGUCACAUAGUCUUCGGACCAGUGCGGCACCGGGGCGGAGCAUGAGCGUACAUGUUGAGACCCGAAAGAUGGUGAACUAUGCUUGCGCAGGUUGAAGCCAGAGGAAACUCUGGUGGAGGACCGCAGCGAUUCUGACGUGCAAAUCGAUCGUCAAACGUGAGUAUAGGGGC